Pelobates cultripes (western spadefoot toad) is the source of this 209-nucleotide non-coding RNA. Lineage: Eukaryota; Metazoa; Chordata; Amphibia; Anura; Pelobatidae. The record is from the annotation of a GenBank genome assembly.
GUUUGGGCGACAAUGUUCCCCAAUACAUCAUUGCCCAGAAACACCUCCAUAAACUGCCGAGGGCUAAAUCCUGUGACAUCCAAAUUAAUGCCAGGAUUUGCAGUAAAGGAUGGGAUGUCUGGCCUCUGGCGAUAAGGCACUGCACAUUUCUCAGCAGUUCUGCCAGCUGGAGCAGCAUGUCUCCUUCUGGCAGGGGGACUAGCAGGCAC